CUUGUACUUACGGGGAACCUUGACUUUUCUGCGGGGUCCAUAACUUCAGUGGAUCCUUUGUGCAUUUCCACCAUUGGGAUGUUGGGAGAAGAUGCAGAGGAUGGAAUUCAAUCAAAAUAAGUGUGAGGCAACCAUUCAUUGUUUCAGCUAGUAAGUCUACUUGAAGGAGGCAGAGGCAGACAAAUGGCAGGCUCCAGGCAUUCACUGCAGAACGGAGAAAUACAACUGAAUCAGCAAAAAGCUACACACAAUGACUGAUGACAACCAAUGUGCAAAGGAAGACAAACUGUGCAAGUCAAAGCAAAUAAAUAAUACUGAGAACAUGAGUUGUAGAGUCCCUAAAAGAUGAAAAUUAUGCUCCUUUUGUAAAGUAGUAACUGAGCCUCCUAAACCAUUAGUGGUUUUGGAUGCUACGAUUUUCAUAAUUAUUUCAUGUUGGCUAUUUUUCCAUUCAGCUGUUGGCCCUCAGUUUGCAAUCCCAUUUGUUUUUGCUGAACAUUCCAUUGCCACAAUAUCAAUGUGCACACA
Mobula hypostoma (lesser devil ray) is the source of this 528-nucleotide long non-coding RNA. RefSeq lists it as uncharacterized. NCBI's taxonomy places the organism in Eukaryota, Metazoa, Chordata, Chondrichthyes, Myliobatiformes, Myliobatidae. The transcript is spliced from 3 exons. The record is from RefSeq and is a predicted model, not a curated record.